UACGGGGGGAGCAAGCGUUGUUCGGAUUUACUGGGCGUAAAGGGCGCGUAGGCGGCCACCGCACGUCGACUGUGAAAUCUCCGGGCUUAACCCGGAAAGGUCAGCCGAUACUGCGGGGCUAGAGUGCAGAAGGGGCAACUGGAAUUCUCGGUGUAGCGGUCAAAUGCGUAGAUAUCGGAAGGAACAUCAGUGGCGAAAGCGGCUUCCUGGACCAGCACCGACGUUCAGGCACGAAAGCGUGGGGAGCAAACAGG
RNAcentral lists this ribosomal RNA (254 nucleotides) under uncultured bacterium. Its description in RNAcentral is "partial 16S ribosomal RNA". It matches the Rfam family "Bacterial small subunit ribosomal RNA", at positions 524 to 776 of the family's 1533-position model. The record is from RNAcentral.